RNAcentral lists this long non-coding RNA (249 nucleotides) under Lathyrus oleraceus (garden pea). RNAcentral's name for it is "Pisum sativum (pea) long non-coding RNA (PSAT_LNC011681)". Lineage: Eukaryota; Viridiplantae; Streptophyta; Magnoliopsida; Fabales; Fabaceae. The record is from RNAcentral.
AAAAAUGAAUAAAAAGAGGAAGGAGAAGAGAAAACAAUUGCUAUAGAGUUGUUCAAGUGAAUGAAAUAUUUUGUAAAUUCAACUCCCGCAGUUUCUUUCAAGUCUCUUUUAUCUCUUUGUAAAAUGAAUAAAAAGAGGAAGGAGAAGAGAAAACAAUUGCUAUAGAGUUGUUCAAGUGAAUGAAAUAUUUUGUAAAUUCAACUCCCGCAGUUUCUUUCAAGUCUCUUUUAUCUCUUUGAAUUUUAUCCU